UGUCUUUUUGAGGAUAAUAUAAAGUCUAAUCUGCCCACUGAUUUAUAAUUGAAGGGCUGCAGUAUAUUGACUGUACAAAGGUAGCAUAAUCAUUAGUCAUUUAAUUGGUGACUUGUAUGAAGGAUUGGAUGAGGUAUAAACUGUCUCUUAUUUAUAUUUAAAAUUUAAUUUUUUGAUUAAAAAGUUAAAAUAUUAUUAAAAAGACGAGAAGACCCUAUAGAGUUUUAUAAUUAAUGUUAAUUAAGAUUAUUUAUAAAAUAAAAUUAAAAUUGAUAUAUUUAUUGUAUUGGGGUGAUAGAAAAAUAUAAUAAACUUUUUUUUUUAUAUAAAACAUUAAUAAGUGAUUAUAUGAUCCGGUAUUAUUGAUUAUAAGAAAAAAUUACCUUAGGGAUAACAGCGUAAUUUUUUUUUUUAGUUCAUAUAAGAAAAAGAGUUUGCGACCUCGAUGUUGGAUUAAGAUAAAAUUUAAA
This 470-nucleotide ribosomal RNA is filed under the name Sesamia sp. SEZAG6461. RNAcentral's name for it is "partial 16S large subunit ribosomal RNA". The record is from RNAcentral. Lineage: Eukaryota; Metazoa; Arthropoda; Insecta; Lepidoptera; Noctuidae.